Molecule: long non-coding RNA, 305 nt
Organism: Sinocyclocheilus grahami
Lineage: Eukaryota; Metazoa; Chordata; Actinopteri; Cypriniformes; Cyprinidae
Exons: 3
Source: RefSeq, a predicted model, not a curated record
AGAGGAGGAGGAGGCUGAGGAUGAGAAAGAGGAAGAAGAGGGAGAAGUUUCAGAAGAAGAACAGGGAGAUUCUAGUGAUGAGGGUGAAUACUGCCCUUGGGAGAGGGAACGGCUUUCAGGGGUGUGGCUUGAUGAAGAGGAGGCGGGGUUUGUUAAAGAGUCGUUUGAAGGAUACAGUGAUGACACAGAUAUAGACACCAGCUCCGUAAGAGAGUCCAAACCAUGUGACCAACAGGAACAAGAAGAGUCCAUUUCAUUGCACCAGUCACCUGCAGAGUCCUCACCCUCUUUGAAACUACCAGAAU